UUGACGAGGUACACAAUGAACAUUGUACUUGACGAGGUACACAAUGUACGUUGUACUUGACGAGGUACACAAUGUACGUUGUACUUGACGAGGUACACAAUGUACAUUGUACUUGACGAGGUACACAAUGUACAUUGUACUUGACGAGGUACACAAUGUACAUUGUACUUGACGAGGUACACAAUGAACAUUGUACUUGACGAGGUACACAAUGUACAUUGUACUUGACGAGGUACACAAUGAACAUUGUACUUGACGAGGUACACAAUGAACAUUGUACUUGACGAGGUACACAAUGUACAUUGUACUUGACGAGGUACACAAUGUACAUUGUACUCUACGAGGUACACAAUGUACAUUGUACUUGACGAGGUACACAAUGUACAUUGUACUUGACGAGGUACACAAUGAACAUUGUACUUGACGAGGUACACAAUGAACAUUGUACUUG
Molecule: non-coding RNA, 451 nt
Organism: Cherax quadricarinatus
Lineage: Eukaryota; Metazoa; Arthropoda; Malacostraca; Decapoda; Parastacidae
Source: RefSeq, a predicted model, not a curated record